RNAcentral lists this unclassified non-coding RNA (1487 nucleotides) under Leishmania donovani. RNAcentral describes it as "gene:LdHU3.36.6970(CDS-product:DnaJ_domain_contai ning_protein_putative)". Lineage: Eukaryota; Euglenozoa; Kinetoplastea; Trypanosomatida; Trypanosomatidae. The record is from RNAcentral.
AGCCUGCUCACUCCUAUCGGCAGAAGUCCACAAAGCACAGGUCUGCUUUUGCACAGGGGGACGGGCUGCGCGUGAAUGGUUCAUGUCCCGCAGCGCUCACCGCAGUUUUGGCUUUCUUUCUUUUCGUCUGUGCUUGCGUGUGCCUCUAACGUCACCGCAGGCUCUGCUCUAACUGCGCUCGCUCCCUUUUUGGACGCCAUACAGCUUCACGCCUCUUCUCCGAAGCAGGGUAGCCCACCCAAUCUCCCCUGCGCGUUUAGCCAUGUUCUCUCGCACGGUCUUCCGUUGUGCCCCUGCCGUCGAGGACAUUGUGGCUGCGUUCAAGGUGCUCGGCCUCACGUACAAUCCACGCGCACCGGCAUCUAGUCGACCCGGAGUGGACGACGUGCGGCGGCAGUACCUCGAGAUGGCACGGCUGCACCACCCCGAUUUGAGCAGCGGCGAUGACAAUCGCAUGAAGGUGAUUAAUACGGCCUAUGAGCUUAUUCAGUCCAGCGGCAUUUUGCACAGCGCUUACGACGCACCGGCAGGUGCAAGAGAGGGCGUAGCCGGACAGCAAGGUGGCGAAGCCAGAACUGCGACUCGCUUUGCACGCAAGGCUGGCGCGCGUCGACGCCGCAUGCCAGACGACUUUGCCAGCGGUGACGACUCCUCCUGGUCGAUGAAGACGUCGCUGGACUGGCAAGCGAUUAUGAACAGCACCGAAACCCUCUCCGAGGAAGAGAUGAAGAACCCUGCCAACCACCCUUUUAGUCACAGCAAGUUCUUCACUUUCGAGGAUGAUCUCACAAUCUACCGCAUGAUCCGUGGCGGUGCCACCGUGCGACAGGUGUCCAGGUCGCUGGGCAAGCCAGCGACGUUCAUUGAGCGACGCCUUCAGAAUGCGCAGUUCAAGUUGCGAGUACAGUACGUCCUUCGACAGGACAAGCGCAAAUCGGCUGCUGCCUCGUCGGGCUCCAUGCGGCAAACCACCUCGACCCCGAUCACGGAGCCAGCUACACGUCGCGCGCUUCGCCGCUCUCCGUACGAGGACGCGCAUGUCGGCAGCACCGCUGCCGCAUUCAGCAGCCCCGUGCGAAAGCGCGAGUGGGAGCCAUCGUACCCGGAGUGGCGGGCGCCGCGCUACCGUGAUCAAAUGACGCUGGAGGAGCAGGGAAGGCUCGACGGCCUCCUCCGCGAGACGCCUCGCGCCGCCCAUGCGGCCGGUAAAUCAGCAUCAUCGCCGCACUGUGCCGUGCACUGUGCUGCUUCCAAGAUGGGCCGCUCGUACGAGAACUACAAGCGGUUGAGACCCAACUUGUGAAAAGGUUUGGCAACGCUGGUUGGUGCUGCUCACGGGUCUCUCUCACGUGCACGUUUGUGUGUGUCUGCCUGCGUGCAUGGUGGUACAUGUCACUGAGGCGGAAAGCAGGAGUUACCAUAGAAGCAGACGUGUGGGGUGCUGCUGUUGUUCACAUUUUACAUAAGCCAAGCUAUGGUGCACGAUG